RNAcentral lists this long non-coding RNA (425 nucleotides) under Dermacentor andersoni. RNAcentral's name for it is "uncharacterized LOC126516432". The record is from RNAcentral. Lineage: Eukaryota; Metazoa; Arthropoda; Arachnida; Ixodida; Ixodidae.
CCUUGCACCAGGAUACAAAGAUGACUGGCCACGGAUUUGGACACGCAGUUCACCAGGACUUCACGUGCGGCGGCACUCAGGCACCAGCAACAGUGUCCGCACACGGCUACUCGCGGGCUCAACAUUCUCGUGGGUGCCCGAAACGCGGCAGGCAUCCCGGGAUCCUUCCUUCUCGCGGCUGCCCCGUUCCGGCGUUCCUUUGGCACGGUUGGCCACGCGCCUUUGUCAACGGAACAGCGGACAGCGUAAAGCACCGCCAGCGAGUCAGCCCAAGACAUUCUGGUCGCGGAUCUGCUGGUGCAAUCUCGGCGUGGCUUCUCGCUGCAUCUGGAGCAACAAACACGAUGACCCACAGGAGGCGGAAAGAGCUCGCAGCUGGCACAGCGUGUCAUCGAAGGCGAUCUCUACACCAGCCCCGUGUUGCC